This 1187-nucleotide ribosomal RNA is filed under the name uncultured bacterium. RNAcentral describes it as "bacterial SSU rRNA". It matches the Rfam family "Bacterial small subunit ribosomal RNA", at positions 237 to 1476 of the family's 1533-position model. The record is from RNAcentral.
GACAUUGGCUCGAUAGCUAUGGCGUACGCCCUAGGCCAGUCUAUGAUCUGAGAGUGUGAUCCCACUGGCAUGAGAUCGGACGAUCCUACGAGCAGCAGUAGCAUAUGCCAUGAAUGCAAGUCUGAUAAGCAUGCGCGGCGAUGAAGUCUCAGGGAUGUAACGCUUUAUCGGGAAGAAGAGCAGGAUGCGUCUGUGUGACGUACGAAUGAAUAAGCACCGGCUAACUCCGUGCCAGCAGCCGCGGUAAUACGGAGGGUGCGAGCGUGUCUGGAUUUAUUGGGUUUAAAGGGUGCGUAGGUGGCUUGUUAAGUCAGUGGUGAAAUACAGCCGCUCAACGGUUGAGGUGCCAUUGAUACUGAUAAGCUUGAAAGAAUUGGAGGCUGCCGGAAUGGAUGGUGUAGCGGUGAAAUGCAUAGAUAUCAUCCAGAACACCGAUUGCGAAGGCAGGUGGCUACGAUUUAUUUGACACUGAGGCACGAAAGCAUGGGGAGCAAACAGGAUUAGAUACCCUGGUAGUCCAUGCCGUAAACGAUGAGGACUCGCUGUUGGCAUUCAAUUGUCAGCGGCUUAGGGAAACCGUUAAGUCCUCCACCUGGGGAGUACGCCGGCAACGGUGAAACUCAAAAGAAUUGACGGGGGCCCGCACAAGUGGUGGAGCAUGUGGUUUAAUUCGAUGAUACGCGAGGAACCUUACCUAGGCUAGAAUGCGCGUGACCGCCUCAGAGAUGAGGCUUUCCUUCGGGACACAAAGCAAGGUGCUGCAUGGCCGUCGUCAGCUCGUGCCGUGAGGUGUUGGGUUAAGUCCCGCAACGAGCGCAACCCCUAUGUUUAGUUGCCAGCGGGUAAUGCCGGGGACUCUAGACAGACUGCCUGCGCAAGCAGUGAGGAAGGCGGGGACGACGUCAGGUCAUCAUGGCCCUUACGCCUAGGGCUACACACGUGCUACAAUGGACGGUACAGCGGGUUGCCAACCAGCGAUGGUGCGCCAAUCCCGAAAAGCCGUUCUCAGUUCGGAUCGGAGUCUGCAACUCGACUCCGUGAAGCUGGAAUCACUAGUAAUCGCGUAUCAGCAAUGACGCGGUGAAUACGUUCCCGGGCCUUGUACACACCGCCCGUCAAGCCAUGAAAGUCUGGUAGACCUGAAGCCGGUGCUCCGCAACGAAGCCGGUUAGGAGAUCUGAUGAAUU